UCUCCUAUUGACAUUGUUGGAG
This 22-nucleotide non-coding RNA is filed under the name Arabidopsis thaliana (thale cress). The record is from RNAcentral. Lineage: Eukaryota; Viridiplantae; Streptophyta; Magnoliopsida; Brassicales; Brassicaceae.